RNAcentral lists this ribosomal RNA (399 nucleotides) under uncultured bacterium. RNAcentral describes it as "bacterial SSU rRNA". It matches the Rfam family "Bacterial small subunit ribosomal RNA", at positions 28 to 430 of the family's 1533-position model. The record is from RNAcentral.
GACGAACGCUGGCGGCGCGCCUAAUACAUGCAAGUCGAGCGUGAACCCGGGCUUCGGCCCGGGGGAAAGCGGCGAACGGGUGCGUAACACGUGAGCAACCUGCCCCGAAGACCGGGAUAACACCGGGAAACCGGUGCUAAUACCGGAUGUCCUCCUCCCAUCGCAUGACGGGAAGAGGAAAUGGAUUCCGCUUCGGGAUGGCUCGCGGCCUAUCAGCUUGUUGGUGGGGUAACGCCUACCAAGGCGACGACGGGUAGCUGGUCUGAGAGGACGAUCAGCCACACUGGGACUGAGACACGGCCCAGACUCCUACGGGAGGCAGCAGUAGGGAAUCUUGCGCAAUGGGGCGAAAGCCUGACGCAGCGACGCCGCGUGCGGGAUGAAGGCCUGGUUGUAACG